GGCGGAAUGGCCGAGUGGUCUAAGGCGUCAGACUCAAGCACAUUGCUUAUGUAGGCUUCUACACCAUAUUUGAGGUUUCUGAUCUCCGUAUGGAGGCGUGGGUUCAAAUCCCACUUCCGUCA
Strongyloides ratti is the source of this 122-nucleotide transfer RNA. It matches the Rfam family "tRNA". Rfam says of the family: Transfer RNA (tRNA) molecules are approximately 80 nucleotides in length. Their secondary structure includes four short double-helical elements and three loops (D, anti-codon, and T loops). NCBI's taxonomy places the organism in Eukaryota, Metazoa, Nematoda, Chromadorea, Rhabditida, Strongyloididae. The record is from Rfam.